Small nucleolar RNA from Cricetulus griseus (Chinese hamster), 134 nucleotides. Ensembl annotates it as small nucleolar RNA SNORA51. The record is from Ensembl. NCBI's taxonomy places the organism in Eukaryota, Metazoa, Chordata, Mammalia, Rodentia, Cricetidae.
GGCUUCUUCAUCCUUAAGGACAGGUUGCUUUCAUAUUCUGCCUCUAUAGAAAGAGGAGGCAGAGUAAACCGAUGCCAUGUACACUUCAGUCCAGGCUGCUGUACCUAGUCUGUAUUGUGAAUGGGGAGAUCUUG